Molecule: ribosomal RNA, 95 nt
Filed under: uncultured bacterium
Lineage: Bacteria
Description: partial 16S ribosomal RNA
Rfam family: Bacterial small subunit ribosomal RNA
Source: RNAcentral
CACCGCCCGUCACACCACGAAAGCGGUCUGAACCAGAAGUGAGUGAGCUAACCUCACGGAGGCAGCUUACUAAGGUUCAGGCUGUGAUUGGGGUG